This 507-nucleotide long non-coding RNA is filed under the name Ananas comosus (pineapple). RNAcentral's name for it is "long non-coding RNA (ACOM_LNC013604)". The record is from RNAcentral. Lineage: Eukaryota; Viridiplantae; Streptophyta; Magnoliopsida; Poales; Bromeliaceae.
AACACCAAAAUGCUAUUCACUUUUGCACAAUUUCAGUUUAGCGGCUCGAAAUCUGAUACCUUUCGCCGGAGCCCUCUGAAUAUCCGUUUGAACUCAAAUUUGACAACCAUAUUCGGUUUUACUUAACUUAACGAAAGAAAUUUUAAUCUUUCAGUUUCGUCCCCGUUUGGUCACUGAGAGCUCUACCGAACAAUAUUUCCAACAGGUAGCAGUCGGAUUUUAUUUUCCACUUUCUGAGUGUCAGAAUGGUAUGAAACUUUAAAUCUAGUCUCAUAAAAAUAAUCCUGACAUAUUUUCAGAUUUUCAUAAUUUUCUGAUACUGUACAUUUUCUGCUAAUUUAUCUGCCCCGUUUCUUGCAGAAAAUUCUAAAUCUUUUGUUUUCGCUCCGAUUUUAGCACGAGUCAUUCCAGACUUAUAUUUUACUUCUUCAAGUCUAAUAAAAAUAGUAUUUCACACUAUUUUUUAUUUAUACUUAAUUUUAUAUUAAAAUCUGGUACAUUACACUU